Polyodon spathula (Mississippi paddlefish) is the source of this 202-nucleotide long non-coding RNA. RefSeq lists it as uncharacterized. Lineage: Eukaryota; Metazoa; Chordata; Actinopteri; Acipenseriformes; Polyodontidae. The record is from RefSeq and is a predicted model, not a curated record. The transcript has 3 exons.
GCAGGCGGAGUUACAUGUGGGUACCAGCACAUGAAGCGCGCGGUGGAAGCAUAAAAUGAGGUGGAGAACAGAUACAAAUCCAGUGUCUGACUUCUUCACUUGCACACCAAAUGAUUUAAUCCAAGCUCUGCUAAUGAGACUGCCACUAACAUUAUUAUUGAAGAUAAUCAUUUGUUUAACACAUAAUAGCAUGGGUAAGUAG